GGUCGAGGAAGGCGCUUGUUUGGCGAAAGAACGCGUCGCUGAUAUUCCCACGCUCCCUCCCGAACCCUACCCUCUCUGCUGGCGGCGGCUCCCCCGACGCCAUUCUCUUCCCCCCGAUCUCACCAAGCCUCUCCCGGCCACUCCACCCCACUCUUUGUCCCGUGGGUGUUGCUCUCCUGCAUAUCCACCAGUGGAUCGGCCUCUCCGAGACACAACCAUGCUCCCGCGUGAUGAAACCCUAGGGGCGGCGGCGAUCUGAGGCGGGAGGUGCUCUGCCGGCCAUGGUCGCUGGCGGAAGGACCUCUGGAGAUAGUGAUAGAUUGACAUCGACGGCGGCAACGGCCGGACAGGAAUCGGCCGACGCUGUCCAUCUCCUCCCACCCGUGACCUCGCCCUGAGCCUCCCCCUCACAGCUUUUUCUUGAACAUGGAGGAAGGACACGGCCGAACACAGACAACGACCGGCCGGGGGAAAGUUGUUCGAUCCACUGUUUCAGCGGUUGCUGCUCCAUCCAAUUUGGUCGGGCUGCUGCAGCUCCAGCCCGUGAAAAACAAGAAGGUUGAGAGGAUCUGCAUGGUAAUCACCCACCUUGGCUCGCGGGAGGUCAGGACAUCCAGGUGGUAAUCCCUUUUUGUUUGUGGGUUAGUACACUGGAUAAACAGAGUCGUCAAAAUAGAUUGGAUAUUUGGCCUACUCCUUUAACCAAUAUCUGUAUUCUGUGAUCAUAUACAUAUACUCAAGAUUUGAUGUUUUGUGAUUUGAUUCAGCAACAAAGCUCAAGGGCUCGAAAUGUUGCAGGCCAAUGUGUUUCCUUCUCUUCAUUAGAUCAGGUCCAAAGAUGUCUUGGGACAGAUUUUGGAUGUUUCUAAGUUGGGCCAUGUUUGCAUGUUGACUAACACAUCCGACACUUCUAAGAGGCUUUAUCGCUCUCUUAGAGAUGACAGUUUCAAUGCAGAUGAUAUGUGUGGACAAAUGGACUGGCAUGGUAUGGAACAACUGCCUCGUUUAUGUGGCUGAAGAAUACAAAUAUAUUAAUAAUUCUUUUUCUCUGAUCAUUUAGUCGUGAUAUAAUAGCUUACUGUCAGCCUUGUUAGAUGUAAUGUAGUAUAACUAAAAGAAUCUUUCCUUUUUUCCUUCCAUUUCCAGUGAUAGAUAGUAUUUCACAUUUAUUUUUCUCACAAAGCUCCAUGAAGGUGAGUUGUGUUUGUUGCAACACAUCUAGAGAUUAUGCUUGGGAAAACUCGCAAAGGAAGGUAUAAAUAGUUUUACAAGGUAAAUUCAAUUUUGCUUUCUUUUUUACAUGCAUAUUGGUAAUUUUGUAUAGAUUAAUAGCAAGUUGAUAUUUUUUAGCAGUCUUUGAAGGUAUCUAGGUACAAGUUGUUUGAUGUAACCUUCAUUAUGUACAAAGAUUAAUUGAUAUGAAUUUUUUUGCUGAUCAUUUCCGCUCAUCUAUUUCAAGUGUAAUAAAAUAAAUAAAUAAACCAUAUUUGUAAGGAAACAUGCCUCUACAGAUUUAUUAUCCCUUAAAUGGUUGAUAGCAAUAGUAAAUUGUCUUUAUAUAUUAUAUUGUUGUAUUCUUUCUAUCAUUCUAUAUGGUGUUCUUUUCUCACAUAUAGGAUUCCCUGUAUUUAUCAGUUGCCUAACUACAUUUGCAUAUUUUUUAUUUUUUCGGGUUAGUCCCUUUUGUUUUCUGUCUUAUUUACCACAUAGAGCUUUUUGUUAUUGUACUGAUCCAUACUGUGCUAGCACUAUUAAUAAGAUACAUAACUGCAGUGUCAGUUUUAUGUGUUACCAGUCAGUUUUAUGUGUUACCAGUUAUGUUUUUUUGUUUCCAUUUUGUUCAUGUUAUCUUUACAUAUUUUCUCUUUAUUGAAAUUCUCUUGCCGUGCUCAUAUAGAGAUUGUAAAUUAGUUCAUGUCCUGUUAUUUGUUAUUGCCUUCACAUUUGAUAUGGUUUUUUUUUAGCAUCUACCAACCUUCUGUAGCUUAUCAUUUGUUUAGUUGGAGCCUAACAAUUGGGCUAGAUUCGAUCCAAGAGGGAGGCUUAAGUUAUGUUCCAUGUAACACCUUGAGAAAAUAAUUCUUUAUCAUAGUUGUCUACUCUUCUAAAUUGUUAUCUCUUGAAAUGCUCUAAACAACUAUGAAACAUGUAUGCGCUGAUAUUACUUUUUUCGAUGGCAAAAGGGACGAUUGAUAGGGAUCUCAUCAUGAGAAGAGUAUCAAGACAGAGACAUGAUGGAGAGAAUGAAGGUUGGUGCUCGAUGCGUAUGACUGAGGUAAAGAAACCUUAUCUCUCCGUUGCUAUUACUGUGCAGUUUUUUUUGGAAGAAAUGAGGAAACAUAGCUCCAUAGAAGUUCAUCUGCAUAAUGUAAGUCAUAACUCAAGUUUUUAUUCUGUUAACGCAUGCCUGCUAUAAUCUUGUUCAUGCCUACGAAGUGCUCAGUAAAACUGCAUAAACAAUGUGGAUAAGAAUGAAAAAGGUAUAUUUCUGCGCCAAUCAAAUAUUAUUACCACGUGCCGUGAUUUCAUAUGCUAUAGUAAAUUUGAAUUAUAUAGUUCUGAAUAUUCGUAUUCUUGAUUUGUGGCCAAAUUAGUUUGUCAAUUUGUCUGUUGUCAGCUUAAUAUAAUGACAGGAAUAUUAGCAUGUAUUUUUUCUCUUUCUAAGGGAUCAAGGCAUAAAUUAAACCUUUUGGUCUCCUUUAACAUUUUUAUUUGCAGGACUGUCUGUACAAUUAUUGGAAUGGAUGAGGGGAGACAUAGGCGUAGUUGCAGCCAUGAUAUCCUUGAACGAAUGUACAACAAUAUUAGUUCCUGGUCUAUUAUUUUCUUCUCACGGGCUACCUAAAUAUGUCAGGGCCGCGUGACAAUAUGAUCUUUUGGUAUAUGUGUGUUUCUUUUCUCGUUUUUAUCUUUGGCAUUUCUCCAUUUCAGGGUGUUGUGUAUGUUAUCUUGUGAAAGCGCUGCCAGCGGGCUGAAACCUAAUGUUCACCAGUUUAGAUUUUCUGAAGACCUUGUUCUGAGAAAACAACAGAAUGGCAGAUGAGUUGAAAUGACUUCGUGUUUUGUUUUUCUUAUGUUUUGGUCCAUUCAUUCUGAUUUGUUGUAUUGGGCGAACUGGGCAUUUACAUUGGAAGCCUACCUAUUGAUUGGGAUAGAUUGGGGCACAGAGCACCAGUGAGGAGGCGCCCCAUGGGGCGCCCCAACCACUAGUUGGCAUAAAACUGCAGUUCACCAACUGUGGUCGUACAACGCGUUUGGUGAAGGAGAUUGAGACCAUCCUAUCCAUCCAAUUAUUUUCAACAUCUCCGCAUCAACGUUCACCGUGGGAUGAAACAAAUUACUGCUUUCCUUCCUUUACUACCCUGCUCCUUAAUUUUCAGAUCAAAACACAUUGUUGCUUUCUUAAUCCGUUACUACUACCUUAUCAAAUUAUUCCUUAUUUCCGUCAACAAACAGGGAAAGUGAUUAAGGUCAUCGUUCCACGCCUGGCACCCUCCACCAUACUUUGCGGCAGCAAGCAUAGGUCCCCAAUUCCCCGUCCAGUUGUGAUGGCAAGGAGUGAAGAAAGGAGAAGACCUUGCGAUCUCAAGGCCGAUCAAGACGGAUACGCUAUCAAGCGCGGGCAGAUCAAGCAGGUUGGCGAGGUGGCUGAUGAAGAUCUACUGGAAGAAAAACUCCCACGGCGUCGAGCUUCCUGCCGCUCCAUGUUCCGCCUACUGCAAUAAGAAGGGUGCCCGCUUUACUUCGUUCCCCUCCGCCUCCUCCGCACCAUCCGCCCGCAUGUAGGUAGAGCUGCAUCAGGAGUGGACUGUGAGUGUGCUUGUGAUGGUGUUGCUUGCGGCCUGGUUUGUGGUCGUCGCCCGUCGGAGUCAUGGCAGUCGUGUGGCGGUGGCAUCGAUGCACGGCCGAGCGGAGGGAGAAGGUUCAAGUUCGUCCUGGUUGAUGUCUCCUCGGCGCCAAGGGAUUGUAGGUGGAGGAUCUUCCCGUCGCGCUCCUUCUCUCCUUGCCUUCUUGGCAGCGGCGUGCGCAAGGGUUGAGGCCGGGUUGGCGUUCCACUGACCAAGGUGGGUGACAUCGUGGGCGCCCCCCCC
Non-coding RNA from Lolium perenne, 4091 nucleotides. NCBI's taxonomy places the organism in Eukaryota, Viridiplantae, Streptophyta, Magnoliopsida, Poales, Poaceae. The record is from RefSeq and is a predicted model, not a curated record.